Molecule: ribosomal RNA, 352 nt
Filed under: uncultured Racocetra
Lineage: Eukaryota; Fungi; Glomeromycota; Glomeromycetes; Diversisporales; Gigasporaceae
Description: SSU rRNA
Rfam family: Eukaryotic small subunit ribosomal RNA
Source: RNAcentral
AGCAGCCGCGGUAAUUCCAGCUCCAAUAGCGUAUAUUAAAGUUGUUGCAGUUAAAAAGCUCGUAGUUGAAUUUCGGGGUUCUACCGUUGGUCGGGCUUUGUCUGUACUGGCGUGUAGAAUUUCUACCUUCUGGGGAACCGUCAUGUUAUUUAUUUAGCGUGGUGGGAAACCAGGACCUUUACCUUGAAAAAAUUAGAGUGUUCAAAGCAGGCUUACGUCUGAAUACAUCAGCAUGGAAUAAUAAAAUAGGACGGUGGUCCUGUUUUGUUGGUUUCUGAAUCACCGUAAUGAUUAAUAGGGAUAGUUGGGGGCAUUAGUAUUCAAUUGUCAGGGGUGAAAUUCUUGGAUUUAU